AUUGAACGCUGGCGGCAGGCCUAACACAUGCAAGUCGAGCGGAUGAAGGGAGCUUGCGCCUGGAUUCAGCGGCGGACGGGUGAGUAAUGCCUAGGAAUCUGCCUGGUAGUGGGGGAUAACGUCCGGAAACGGGCGCUAAUACCGCAUACGUCCUGAGGGUGAAAGUGGGGGAUCUCCGGACCGCACGCGAUCAGAUGAGCCUAGGUCGGAUUGGCUAGUUGGUGGGGUAAAGGCCUACCAAGGCGACGAUCCGUAACUGGUCUGCGAGGAUGAUCAGUCACACUAGAACUGGGCCACGGUCCAGGCUCCUACGGGAGGCAGCAGUGGGGAAUAUUAGACAAUAGGCGAAAGCCUGAUCCAGCCGUGCCGCGUGUGUGACGAAGGUCUUCGGAUUGUAAAGCACUUUAAGUUGGGGGGAAGGGCAGUAAGUUAAUACCUUGCUGUUUUGACGUUACCAACAGAAUAAGCACCGGCUAACUUCGUG
RNAcentral lists this ribosomal RNA (484 nucleotides) under uncultured bacterium. RNAcentral describes it as "partial 16S ribosomal RNA". It matches the Rfam family "Bacterial small subunit ribosomal RNA", at positions 30 to 507 of the family's 1533-position model. The record is from RNAcentral.